This 253-nucleotide ribosomal RNA is filed under the name uncultured bacterium. RNAcentral describes it as "partial 16S ribosomal RNA". It matches the Rfam family "Bacterial small subunit ribosomal RNA", at positions 524 to 776 of the family's 1533-position model. The record is from RNAcentral.
UACGUAGGGGGCAAGCGUUGUCCGGAUUUAUUGGGCGUAAAGAGCGUGUAGGCGGCCGUACAGGUCAGCUGUGAAAACUCGAGGCUCAACCUCGAGACGUCGGUUGAAACCGUACGGCUAGAGUCCGGAAGAGGAGAGUGGAAUUCCCGGUGUAGCGGUGAAAUGCGCAGAUAUCAGGAGGAACACCGAUGGCGAAGGCAGGUCUCUGGGCAUUAACUGACGCUGAGGAGCGAAAGCAUGGGGAGCGAACAGG